CGCGACCCAACUCCGGGAGCGUCUGCCUGAGCGCCCAGUGUCCAAACUCCGGCGGGCCGGAGCUGCUGGCUCGGCGCAGCUGGGGUGCCCGGCUCCGCGCUUCGGCCGGCAGAGUGAGUCUGCCGAGUUCCGCGGACGGAACCGGGAGGAUAUGAGACCUGCCCUUGAAGCCCGUUCGCGUUUCCCUAAUGAAUAGAGGGCAAAACAGCUGGAGAAGCAGCCUUAUUGCUCAAAAGGAAGUGUUGAUACAUCCCGGAGCUUUGAGCGUGGGAGAUGACGGGCCCAGCUUUAUGCCACUUACAGUGGUAACAUGGUUGAUGGGUAGACCCUGUACGGCAAGAUGGUAUUGUUACUGAAACGGCCAUGGGCUGGAUAUGUGUGAGAAGAUAAGCCCACUUACCAGGUUCUAAGGCAAAGUCCAAAGUGGCUUGACUAAGAUGAGACAGAAAGAGCAGAAAGUAACUUUCAAGAGAAUUUGUUUGCAAUACACAUUUACCUGACUUCUGUUAGAGAAUAGCUUUUUGUAAGAAAGUGUAUGGCAGUUGUGGUAGAUGCUGUUUGGUGUGUCACCUAGGAGCCCUUUGCUGGCUGGUGCUCGUCACCCAGGCCACUGGCAAUGUCGCCCGCUAAGGGCUCACAGCUGCCCCUUCUCAGGCCUCCCUAACCCCUCCACCAAGGGCAGUAGUCGUGAGGCCAAGGCUCAACUUUACAGGAACCCAUCCUGGCUGACUUUUUCCUCUUCGCCCCCUCUCUAAUAAAUUUUUCCUAAAGAGUACUUCAUAGCUGUUAUCCUUGUCUUCAUCAAGCUUCACAGGCAGCUGGGAAUCAGAAGGGAUUUAGAAGAUAUCACACAGCAAGUUGACAGAGCAAGAAAGGCAUCAUUAUCCUCUUUACUACCUUCUCUAUGCACUGAUCUUUCUAUUGUGCCUCUUUGAGUUCUAGCCACAUUGGCUAUUUUAAUAGUUUUCCAUUUUGAUUCAUUUUCAGAAAGAAUAUAUGUGUAGGACAGCUUAUUGAAUUAACUCUUUCUGUUAUCCACAUUUAUGAGAAGCUAGGCUAUUUAGAUCAUUAGUUACUAAUAUCGUACUGUAGACCAUUGAUCCAAAUUAUAGGCAUAAGUAUCUAUGAAGAAAAUUAAAAAUGUGACCAUGACCAGCGUGCUAGUGAGCUCUUUACAGUAAUAGCAAAGGUUACAAUCCUUAAAGAACUUUUGCCAUGUGAUGUUAAAUAUUGUUAGAAUACCAUUUGUACUGCGCAUUAUGGUUUUUAAAUACACUGUCAUAAAUAUUUCAUUUGUCUCCACAGUAACCCUCUGACCUGAGUAAAGUAUGGGAAUCUCUGUUUCAUAGAUGAAGGAACUGAAGCUCAGGGAUAUUAAGGGAUUUGCUCAGUGUCUAAUAGUUAUGAAGUUGCAUGGUGAAAUUUGACAGUUUUAUUUUUAGCAGAUUUGGAGCCUUUCUAUUUUAUUGCCUAUUUGAUCCACUUUAUCAUGUUUUGUCAUUUCUUAAAUUAUUUGAGGUUAUAACAUCAGUUUGUGGUUUAGUCAUCAUAAAACUCUGUAGUACUAUUUGUAUUCUAGGACACGAGACCUUCUAGAAUUUCUACAAGGCUGCAAAAUAGGCUGCCUAAUUAAAU
Long non-coding RNA from Orcinus orca (killer whale), 1635 nucleotides. RefSeq lists it as uncharacterized. The record is from RefSeq and is a predicted model, not a curated record. Lineage: Eukaryota; Metazoa; Chordata; Mammalia; Artiodactyla; Delphinidae. The transcript is spliced from 3 exons.